This 254-nucleotide ribosomal RNA is filed under the name uncultured bacterium. RNAcentral describes it as "partial 16S ribosomal RNA". It matches the Rfam family "Bacterial small subunit ribosomal RNA", at positions 524 to 776 of the family's 1533-position model. The record is from RNAcentral.
UACGUAGGGUGCGAGCGUUAAUCGGAAUUACUGGGCGUAAAGCGUGCGCAGGCGGUCUGUUAAGACCGAUGUGAGAUCCCCGGGCUUAACCUGGGAACUGCAUUGGUGACUGGCAGGCUUUGAGUGUGGCAGAGGGAGGUAGAAUUCCACGUGUAGCAGUGAAAUGCGUAGAGAUGUGGAGGAAUACCGAUGGCGAAGGCAGCCUCCUGGGCCAACACUGACGCUCAUGCACGAAAGCGUGGGGAGCAAACAGG